RNAcentral lists this ribosomal RNA (496 nucleotides) under uncultured bacterium. RNAcentral describes it as "partial 16S ribosomal RNA". It matches the Rfam family "Bacterial small subunit ribosomal RNA", at positions 28 to 506 of the family's 1533-position model. The record is from RNAcentral.
GAUGAACGCUGGCGGCGUGCCUAAUACAUGCAAGUCGAGCGAACAGAUGAGGAGCUUGCUCCUCUGACGUUAGCGGCGGACGGGUGAGUAACACGUGGAUAACCUACCUAUAAGACUGGGAUAACUUCGGGAAACCGGAGCUAAUACCGGAUAAUAUAUUGAACCGCAUGGUUCAAUAGUGAAAGACGGUUUUGCUGUCACUUAUAGAUGGAUCCGCGCCGCAUUAGCUAGUUGGUAAGGUAACGGCUUACCAAGGCAACGAUGCGUAGCCGACCUGAGAGGGUGAUCGGCCACACUGGAACUAGGACACGGUCCAGACUCCUACGGGAGGCAGCAGUAGGGAAUCUUCCGCAAUGGGCGAAAGCCUGACGGAGCAACGCCGCGUGGGUGAUGAAGGUCUUCGGAUCGUAAAACUCUGUUAUUAGGGAAGAACAAAUGUGUAAGUAACUAUGCACGUCUUGACGGUACCUAAUCAGAAAGCCACGGCUAACUACGU